This 253-nucleotide ribosomal RNA is filed under the name uncultured bacterium. RNAcentral's name for it is "partial 16S ribosomal RNA". It matches the Rfam family "Bacterial small subunit ribosomal RNA", at positions 524 to 776 of the family's 1533-position model. The record is from RNAcentral.
UACAGAGGCCCCGAGCGUUAGGCGGAAUCACUGGGCUUAAAGCGUGUGUAGGCGGGCCCGUAAGUACCUUGUGAAAUCCCACGGCUUAACUGUGGAACGGCUGGGCAUACUGGCGGUCUUGAGCCAUCUAGGGGCGACUGGAACAAACGGUGGAGCGGUGAAAUGCGUAGAUAUCGUUUGGAACGCCAAUGGUGAAAACAGGUCGCUGGGGAUGAGCUGACGCUGAGACACGAAAGCCAGGGGAGCAAACGGG